This 239-nucleotide long non-coding RNA is filed under the name Ictidomys tridecemlineatus (thirteen-lined ground squirrel). RNAcentral's name for it is "lncRNA (ENSSTOG00000031952.1)". Lineage: Eukaryota; Metazoa; Chordata; Mammalia; Rodentia; Sciuridae. The record is from RNAcentral.
UAUCUUUCCGCUGUCCACGUGACCACGCGAGGUGACGUUCUGCCAGGAGAACAUGAUGCUCUGCGGGAACCACAUGAGCAACACACAGCCCCUUACUGAGAAAGCUUCCAAACUAUAAAACUGCAGUUGAGAAGGAAAUGAAACAUGAAGGUCGAUGCCUCGCAGAAGGAAAGGAACAGCGUGGGCAUCAUCAGCACCAGCCUGAAGACUUUGUCCACCUCUCACGCUGUCCUGAGAAU